RNA transcript from Chenopodium quinoa (quinoa), 6187 nucleotides. It is a transcript of the gene named histone-lysine N-methyltransferase SUVR5-like, with no coding region annotated. Lineage: Eukaryota; Viridiplantae; Streptophyta; Magnoliopsida; Caryophyllales; Amaranthaceae. The record is from RefSeq and is a predicted model, not a curated record. The transcript is spliced from 14 exons.
CUCAUUCUCAUUAAUAAUUCUUAAUCAUUUUUUUCUCUCUCUAUCCCUCUCUAACCCCACAUAGAUAUCUACAACAUUUUUAAUUAUGUGAAAAAACCCAAAUAUGUUCUUAAUAAAAGGGAGGAGGGAGUACCCUUUCCUUUGAUUUUUUUAAAGUAGACCCUUAAUGUUGAUAACGAAAACAUAAGAACGAAUCCCGCAAGCCGUAAUCUUGUCUCUUUAAGGACUUUCUCUCCAGUAACACAAACCCAAAGGCCAAAGUAGAUCCAUUGAACACUUUCAUUUUGUGACACACAUCAAGAUUUAAAGACUUCUUCUUUUCCACAGUUUGGUUUUCUGACAAUAUCAACACUCAAAACUAACCAAUCUUUGAACUAUGCAGUAAUUUGCACAGAAAAUUUUCAAUUUCAUCCCCAAAUUCAUACAAUUACUUCGUAAAUCAAUACUCAAAAUUGUCAGAACCAAUCUAUUUCGUCAAUUACCCAAUAUAUAUAUAUAUAUAUUUUUUUUUUUAAAAAAAAAAAAACUUGAGCAAAAAGUCAAAAUUACCCCUAAAAAUCUACAACAAGCUUAGCUUACAGCUGCCUGUCCCACACUGACCCUACCAUUAGUCCAUUACCCUGAUAUCAGCAACAGUUUCAUAGCCUAUAAACCAAACUUAACCCAAAAAAUAUAAAAUUAAAAAGAAAAAUAACAAAAUAAAAAAAAAGCAAACUUUGAUUUACGAAUCUCAAGGGUUAUACCUGGAAACUUCAAACCAAAUUACAGAAUCCAUAGUUUUAACUGUUAAGUUCCCCAAAUUUGUUUUCCCACAUACCCUAAAUCCGCAAGACCAAUUUCUGAUUUUUUCCAUGUUACAGAAAAUUUAAUUCAAGAAAAAAAAACCCACAAAAAAUAAGAGAAGAAAAAGGUACAUUUUGAUUUUAUAAUAAUUGGCCUAGUUAACCAAAGUCCAAACUUUUGUUAAGAGUUAGAGAGAGAAACACACAAAUUCGAAGAGAGAGAAAGAAAUACCACACCAUUACCAUUACCAUUACCAUUACCAUUGUCAGACCACCAAUUUCAUUUUCACCCCCCUACCAUGGCAAAAUUAAGUUUGCGGCAAAUUCAGUAAUUCUCAGCGAUUGAUAAGGUAUAUGAAUGAGUGAAGAGAUUUAAUGGCAUUGUGGUUUUUAUCUUGGUGAUAUGGAAGUUCUUAAGUGUCCUGCCCUCCUCUAUGCUGAAAAUUCUUGCCACUCUCAAGAGAAAUCAGUCAUGGAGUUUGUGCAAGAUUCAGAAUCAAAUAGUGUUAAGCAUGCCGAGCAAAUAUCUGUAGAAGAGAAGGAAGUGGAUCAUUUUCUGCCAAGUUUGAAAGUGGCCAUAGGCACGAUGCAAUGUGAUGGUCAAGACCAAGAUGGAGAGGCUCUUAUGUUAGAAGAGAGAUCUAAUGGGUCUUCACACUCUGGUUCUGAUUUGUUGAGCCAGAAUUUGUCUGGGGUAGUUCUUGAUCAUGAUGAUGAUAACCUCGAGGAACAGGUCCAAUAUAAAGAAACUUACCUUGAUUUUCAGAACUCUCAUGUAGAUGUGAACACAAUUGAAAGUGAGCCACAUUCUGAAAAUAAAGAAGACGAGUCAUUAAUAUCAGCAACCAGGUGGCCUGAGCAAGAUGAAUCUCUUGCAUUAUGGGUUAAGUGGAGAGGAAAGUGGCAAGCUGGAAUCAAAUGCGAAAGGGCAGACUGGCCAUUAGCGACUGUGAAAGCAAAACCAACUCAUGACAGGAAGAGUUAUAUUGUGAUAUUCUUUCCACACAAAAAGAAUUAUUCUUGGGCAGAUACACUGCUUGUUUGUGCAAUUGAUGAGCUUCCGCAGCCUAUUGUACACCGGUCACAUAAAGUUGGAGUGCAAAUGGUUGAAGAUUUGACUGUUGCACGCCGCUUUAUCAUGAAAAAGCUAGUAAUUGGCAUAUUGAGUAUUGUUGACCAGCUUCCUGUUCAGGUGUUGCUCGAAACUGCUCGUGAUGUAGUUGUAUGGAGAGAUUUCGCUGCAGAGGCUUCUCGCUGUAAAAGUUAUCCUGAUCUUGGAAGAUUGCUCUUAAAGCUUCAGAAUAUGGUAUUGCGGCAGUACAUCGAUGCUAACUGGCUGCAACAUUCUUUCCAACUGUGGGUAGAUAAGUGCCAGAAUGCUGUCAGUGCUGAUUCCAUUGAACUUCUGAAGGAGGAAUUGGUGAAUUCUAUUUUGUGGAGUGAAGUCAACGAUCUUCGAGAUGCCCAAGGACAGCCUGCAUUAGGUUCUGAGUGGAAGAUGUGGAAGCAUGAAGUUAUGAGAAGUUUCUCAAUGACGCAGUCUGUGUCCGGUGGUGGAGGCGUAAAACAGCCAAGCAAAAAUGGCAUAGAAGAUUUUAGUGUUAGUCCACCGAUGACAAGUCUUCAAAUUAGCCGGAAGAGACCUAAGCUUGAAGUUCGUCGUGCAGAGCCACAUAAUUCUGUAGGUGAAAAUAAGAGCUGUCAGGAAAAUACCAUUGUUGAGAUUAAUUCGGCAUUUUUUUCUGAUCAGAGCACUAUGAAUGCUGAUAAUGCGCUCUUGCCUCCUAAAGAGGACCUUUUAGGCCAGACAAUAGCACAAAUUUCCUCACCGAGCAAUGCCAUAGAUGGAUGGGAUGGGGACCAUGGGGUUGUGGUCGAUACUUUAAACGCAGAGUCUACCCAGAAAGAAGAUAGUAGACUGCAACCCGUUAAUGGAGUGGUCGAGACAAAAUCCCCAGCUUCUAGAGUCAAUAGUCGGAAAUGCAUUGCUUUUAUUGAGGCUAAGGGAAGGCGGUGUGUAAGGUGGGCUAAUGAUGGUGAUGAAUACUGCUGUGUUCAUUUGAUGUCUCGUUUUGCAACACAAUCUGUCAAAACAGAGACCUCUACACCAGCUGAAUCAUCUAUGUGUCAAGGAACUACCACUCAAGGUACCAGGUGCAAACAUCGCUCUCUCCCAGGUACCUCCUUUUGUAAAAAACAUCGCCCCCAUGGUGAUGGAACAAUGCCCCCAAGUUCACCUGGAAGUCAGUUAAAGAGAAAACAUGACGAGCUGCUAGACAAGUCCGAGAACACAUGUAAGGAUAUUGUUAUAGCUGGGAGAGCUGAAAGACCUCUGGAAGGACAUUUGAACACACUUAUGGAAGGAACUACCUCUAAUGGAGGAGAACUUGAACUGAUAGUGCCUGAACAACAUGCUGAGGAUUCUAACAAUAAGAAUGUAGAGAUAGCUUAUUGUGUUGGAUUGGGCAUGCAUGAGGGCCAUUCAAACUGUUUAGAAAGCCCUAAGAGGCAUUCUUUAUACUGUGAUAAACAUAUACCUAGCUGGCUGAAACGUGCUAGAAAUGGUAAGAGUAGGAUAAUCUCCAAAGAAGUUUUUGUGGAUCUUUUGAGGACAUGUUCCUCCCAGAAGCAGAAAACUCAUUUGCAUCAAGCAUGUGAGCGUUUCUACAAUCUCCUUAAAAACUUAUUAUCCUUGAGAAACCAAGUUCCCAAAGAGACUCAAUUUCAGUUGGUGUUGUCUGAAGCUUCUAAAGAUAUACAUACAGCUGAACUUUUAAUGAAGCUGGUUUCCAGAGAAAAAGAGAGGUUGACAAGGAUAUGGGGCUUUAAUUUAGAGAAGGAUGCGCAAGUUUCCUGCUCUCCUGUAGAGGAAUUAGCUCUGGUCCCUGUAGAAGAAGAGGCUGUUGAUGAUGGAAGUUUCAAAUGUAAAAUUUGCUUUGAAGAGUUUUCUGAUGAUCAAACACUUGGGACACACUGGAUAGACAGUCACAAUAAGGAAGCACAGUGGCUUUUUAGGGGCUAUGCCUGUGCUAUUUGUCUUGAUUCUUUCACUAACAGGAAGGUUCUUGAGACACAUGUACAGGAGAGACACCAUGCUCAGUUUGUUGAGCACUGCAUGCUUAUCCAGUGUAUUCCUUGUGGCAGCCAUUUUGGUAAUUCUGAGGAGUUAUGGUCACAUGUUCUUUCAGCUCACACAGAAGGUUUUAGACAAUCAAAUAGAGGGCACAACGGUCACCAAUUAGUGGGUUCUCAGCAGAAUCUUAUUCCCUCGACACUUGCCUCUGUUGAUAAUUCUGAGAGUCAGAGCAGUAUUCGGAAGUUCAUUUGUAGAUUCUGUGGGUUAAAGUUUGAUCUGCUACCUGAUUUAGGCCGUCAUCAUCAGGCAGCUCAUAUGGGGCCAGGUUUGGUAAGCUCUCAUCCAAAGAAGAAAGGCCUCCGCUUUUAUGCGUAUAGACUAAAAUCAGGAAGACUAAGCCGUCCCAGAUUCAAAAAGGGUCUUAGUGGAGCAUCUUAUAGACUCAGAAAUAAGGGUAGCUUAGUUUUAAAGAAACGAUUACAGCCUGUUAAUCCUAUUGGCGCUGGACAAAUAAAUGUGCAAUCUCAUGUAAUGGAUACUGCUGGUCCUGUUAGACUUACCGAGGCUCAGUGCUCAGCUAUUGCACAGAUGUUGUCUUCUGAAGCUCAGAAAACAAGAGCACGUCCUAGUAAUAAUGAAAUCUUAUCUAUUGCUUGCUCUGCUUGCUGCAAGGUGAGUGUUCAGAGGUCACUAGAGCAGAAGUAUGGAGAAUUGCCUGAACGCUUAUACUUGAAAGCUGCUAAGCUUUGCAGUGAACAUAACACUCCAGUAGAUUGGCAUCAGGAAGGGUUUAAUUGCUCUAAAGGAUGCAAACCACAGGAAGAUUAUAUUUUGGGGUCUGUUUUGUCUUGUCCCAUUAAUGAAUGUGGAAGGCUAAAUUCACCUUCUCCAAAUCCACAAGAGGAAUGCGAAAUGGAUGAGUGCCACUUUGUCAUGAAUCCGCAAUAUUUUAGUUGGAGACACUUACAAACCACCAUUAUCUUGUGUGAUGAUAUAAGUUUUGGAAAAGAAAAGGUAUCAGUUCCUUGUGUGGUUGACAAAAACCUGCUAGAUUCACUUCAUAAUCCAACAUAUGACUUUGAUGGGCAAGCAUUUUUCAUGCCGUGGGAGAGCUUUACAUAUGCGACUAAGCCACUGUUAGAUAUAUCCCUUGAAGUCAAUAUGCAGAAUUUGCAGUUAGGGUGUGGCUGUUCACAAUCAACUUGCUAUCCUGAGACAUGUGAUCACGUAUACCUGUUCAACAAUGAUUUCGAGUAUGCGAAGGAUAUCGAUGGAAAGCUUAUGGAAGGAAGAUUCCCUUAUGAUGAUAAAGGUCAACUAGUUCUGAAGGAUAAUUAUCUCAUCUAUGAAUGCAAUAACCUGUGUAAGUGUAGUAGCAACUGCCCAAAUAGGGUAUUGCAGAAUGGGGUUAGAGUAAAGAUGGAAGUCUUCAAAACAUUGAAAAAGGGUUGGGCACUCCGAGCCGGUGAAAAAAUUUUGCGCGGCACCUUUGUAUGUGAAUUUGUUGGUGAAGUAUUAAAUGAACAGGAAGUUGACAGAAGGCGCAAAAGGUGUAAAAAAGAAGGUCGUGAUUAUAUCUAUGACAUGGGUACCCAUAUGAAGCACAUGAGUGAAUUGAUUGAAGGGGAAGCCAAGUAUUUUAUUGAUGCUACAAAAUAUGGAAAUGUUUCGCGUUUCAUAAAUCACAGCUGCUGUCCAAAUCUUGAAAGUCACCUGGUUCUUGUGGAAAGCAUGGAUUUUCAGCUUGCCCAUGUUGGUUUCUAUGCAAAACAGGAUAUAGCUGCUGGGGAAGAACUUUGUUUUGACUUUCACUAUGAGCUACUGGCUGGAGACGGAUGCCCCUGCUUGUGCGGAGCUUCGACUUGUAGGGGUCGCCUUCACUAAUAUUAUUAGCAAAUUAGCAUCAAUGGCCAGGCAAUCAGUUGCAUCACAGAAGCUGAUUUUAAGGGCCUUUGUAAUGGUCUUGUAGUCACGCUGCUAAAUUUUCCAUUGACUGCUCGAGUAGAGCUGAGCUAUGCAGUGUCGGGAGCCUAUUGCCUUCUUGUAAAUUGAUUGAUUGAGAUGGCGAAUUAAAGGCGUGGGUUGAGAGUUCUUGAAAUUGGAUGUUCCAAGUUGUUUCAUGUAAAAGAGUUGUACCAACCAAGUACUAAUGAUCAUACUCGUAACUCGGAAGUAUUUUGUUUGUAGGGUAUCAAGGGCUAGUCUUUCAUUGUACAAUUCCUUUGUUGCUUCCUCUUGUUGUAAUUAAUCGAAUAUGUGAAUUAGGAUUCGAAUACUGAACUACAAGUAGUUAAUCAAAGGUGCAUUUUUUGUAAGUAUUUUGAGCAAA